CCUACGGGUGGCAGCAGUGGGGAAUCUUGGACAAUGGGCGAAAGCCUGAUCCAGCCAUGCCGCGUGUGUGAAGAAGGCCUUCGGGUCGUAAAGCACUUUCAGUGGGGAAGAAAGCCUUUGGGCUAAUACCCUCGAGGAAGGACAUCACCCACAGAAGAAGCACCGGCUAACUCCGUGCCAGCAGCCGCGGUAAUACGGAGGGUGCGAGCGUUAAUCGGAAUUACUGGGCGUAAAGCGCGCGUAGGCGGUCUGAUAAGCCGGUUGUGAAAGCCCCGGGCUCAACCUGGGAACGGCAUCCGGAACUGUCAGGCUAGAGUGCAGGAGAGGAAGGUAGAAUUCCCGGUGUAGCGGUGAAAUGCGUAGAGAUCGGGAGGAAUACCAGUGGCGAAGGCGGCCUUUUGGACUGAAACUGACGCUGAGGUGCGAAAGCGUGGGUAGCAAACAGGAUUAGAUACCCGGGUAGUC
Molecule: ribosomal RNA, 465 nt
Filed under: Vreelandella stevensii
Lineage: Bacteria; Pseudomonadati; Pseudomonadota; Gammaproteobacteria; Oceanospirillales; Halomonadaceae
Description: partial 16S ribosomal RNA
Rfam family: Bacterial small subunit ribosomal RNA
Source: RNAcentral